UAAAUAAAAUAUUUCUCCACAGUUUAGAAUUACUUUGGUUUAAAAAGGCUCUGUCCUCUCUGGUAUCUUUGGUUGAAAAUGAUGGCCUGGUGGAAUACUGGGUGGCUUUGUCUGGUUGGUUAAUUUUGCUCUUGAUUAGCUAUAUGCCCUGAUUUCCCUGGGUGUAAGAACUCUGGAGGAAAAAAAAAGAAAAAAAAAAAAAAAAAAGUAAGCUCACUUUAAAAAAAAAAAGCAACAACAACAGCACAUGUUUUCCUUAGUACAAUCUGGAACAUGAUAACAUAGGUCACAAUAUUACUCAAAAGGUGGCAACUUCCAGUGUGGGGCAGCAACCUUUUAAGCUUAUUUGGGCUCUAUUAGAGAAGUAGCAAGAAAUUAGCAGGCUAAUUGCUAAGUGAAUUGCUACUUUUUCUUAGGAGCCAUCUCUUUUGCCCAGUGUUUGUUAAACACUUUGCUAGUUGGCAGUAGAAUGAAGUUGUUUGUUAAUGAAACUUCCAUCACUGUAAAAUAAUCACGUAUAAGCAAAUACCACUGUGAUAACAGUAAGGUGGGUGUGCCAGUCCAUUUUCUUAGCAGUGUUGUUAUUUAUGUAUUUGUCAUAUAUAACAGUAGUAUAAACUGAUGUCAUACAGGUUAGUUCUUUUAAGGAGAGCUUUGAAGAAUGCUUUUAAGUAUUUGCUUGAUAUUUUUUGCUACUUAUUACCUUUGUAUGCAUGCAGAGUUGAAACCACUUUCAGAAGCUUGUCAGUGAUUGAUCACUUCACAGUAGACAUUCAGAUAGAUGUUCUUUAAUCAAUUCAUACUUGAUCUUUCUGUAGACACUUAAUGUGUCACUUUCUAGAAAUCAACAGCUCUUUUAGCUGCAGGGAUUGCCAGAAGUUAUUUUGGGAAGCCACACAAAGUACACGCUCAGUCUGAAAGAAGACAAGGCUAUUACUUAAAAGCAUUGAGCCACGAAUGGCAUACAAUUCACACAGAUAACUGCCAUUAUUUACAAUACUUCUCUAAAAAUACUUCAAUAGCAAUAAUGAGAAGGAAAUAAGAAAGAAAACUCAAGAAAGGAAACAAAUGAAUUCCUACAUCCUCUACACCUGUGUAGAAAGUCUACUGCUGCUCUUCGAGUGAUGUGACCUAGAUUUUAAAACAAAAACAGCCCAGGAGGUUUUCAGCUGUAGGCUUACAUUUUCACUGGAACUGAACUUUCCCAACAGUAUGUUGGCAUUGAUAAAGUUCUGGAAUGGGUGAGCUGAGGAGGGAAUUCUUGCAACUCAAUCCUGGUUCCAAAUCCAGCUAGCAUAAUUACAGUCUUGCUACUGGCCAGUAGUGUUGCUCUGGAUAGCAUCAAAGCAUUCCUGUAAAACAUUUUGAACUGCUUCCAGUGACCACUCCUGUGGUCGGUAUAUAGUAACUUCUGAGCACAUAUUAAACUGUGCCUUGUCCAAAGAGUUACGCAGUUUCUGUAUGCAGACACCAGCACCGAUGUGUGUGAGUUAGCCAUGUACCAAAAAGACCAGAUAAUUGUAAAAACUGAGUAAUUUGAGUGACUGAGUAUCGUGGCGUCCAUUGCAUAACUGUACAUCCAACACUGUCUGGAGUCAGUGGCAGCUUGCUGGGCAGGAUUUGUCAUAUCAGCUCAUGUAUCUGGAAUGAUGUGCUGUGUCAAAAGUUUUACCAAAUAGAUGCCUACAGAAAUGUAAUUUGACUUUAAUCAAUUUUAUUGUCUGAAUGAAAGACAAUAAUAUAGAUAAAAGCUUUAAGAGAGAAGAAAGGAAAAAAAUAAUUUGUAGGAAGCUAAUCAAUUUGUUUUCAGAAUGCUUUUUUUCAGUCCUUAAAAGGAGUGCUGUUUCUUUAAAGAAACCAACUGGCUGGAAGCAGAAGACAGUGUCCAUUGCAGCAUUACUUCUCUGUGCGAAGACAUUAGAAUUGGCCUGAUUUCUACAAGUGCAAAGCAAGGACAGAUACUGUCUUUUCCAUUGGGAUCUGAGGUUAUAGAGCAUUUCUGAGAAUCAAGCCACUCGCCGCUACUUCUGAAAGAAACUUCUUAAGGUGUAUUGAGGAUGUUCUGUGGGCUCAAAGCAUUCCGAGCACCCUCUGGAACAGGCAAGCUGGUGUGAAAGCAGAGAAGGAGCAACUCUAGGAGUAACCGCAUCCUGAAAAUGUUGAACUUUCUUAUCCUUUUCAUUGUCACUACAGCCGAAAUGAGUUUCUGCAGGGUCCAGGAUUUCUCCUGCAAGUGCCUGCAGAGGUGAUGGGCGAAGGUUGGCCCAGGAACAUUCUGAGUGUGACAUUUGAAGUCAUCUUCUGCCUGAGAUGAGCACAGCUCAUGAGCCUCAGAUGCUUGGUACAAUGGGACAAAGAUCUACCUGCUCUCACACUUUGAUAUUUGAAAGCAUGGAAGUAACAGUAGAAGCAUGGAACAUGGAAGCCAACUUUCUACUCUUUUUGUGUGGUGUCACCCACACAUUACUGAAUGUAAAUGUUCUUGUUUUCUAUCCCCGUCCCUUUGUUCUCAGUACAAAAAGCUAAGAACUUCUCUGUCCUGUGAAUUAAUCAACCCAGCCUCGUCCAGAUCUUUCUGCAGUUAGUUCAGAUCCAGUAUCUGGGCUGUAUCUCCUCAGAGUGCUUUUAAGAAAUUCUGGCCCUGAGAAAUAAACCCUGACAUGGGUACCAGUUUUGUGGGUUAUAUCCAACGCAAUUUUCAACUCUUCCAGAAAUGUAAGAGCUGCCAAUUUUUCCUGCACUCACUUUAAUUAGGUAUUUUACUGCCUAAGUGUGAUACCUCUAAGAAUGGGAAUACUGGAGUAGUGCUGAGGAGAUACUACAUGAAUUGCAUUCUUGAGGUCCAGGCAGAUUAAAAUGAAUGACUUUUCAAAUAGCUUUCUGUCUUAUUCUUUUUCCUUUUUCUUUAUGCCUGUGAUAAAGUUGGAGGGAGGCUGAAGAAGCUGGAUAGUUUGCCUCCCAAAUAUAGAGAAUGUUGUUGUCAUUUCAGAGUAUUUUCACAAACAGAGGGAUUUAUGGCAGCAGUCAUUUUACUGAACGUUAACAGCACAUUUGUAGGUUUGCAGCGUGUGUGCCUACCUGAGCUCACAAGCUUCUGUAGAUCAGACCAUCACCCAGUCUGUCAUGUCUCACCUUUGCCAGAUUCCUCUUCAGUCCUGGGUACUCACAUGUUUGCUUAAAAAUAUGAAGACUCCUGCAUUGUGACAAGUGAAAGAAGGGAUAAAAUAUCAAGGCUUUAGCACUUAGCAGUGCUGAAUGGGAGCUAAAGACUGCAGCUAGGAAGCUGAGUAGUAAGGAUCAACGAAUGUGAUGCAUCUAUCUGUAUUCCCAUAUGUCAGUCUCAGACAAUUUCACAGAUUUGCUAAUGGGAAUAAGCUUUCAGUAAAGCUUCUUCAGAGCCCUUAAAGAGAUGUGAAUGUACUCCAGAACCUUGAUGAGUGAUAAGAGGAAACACUGAAAGACAAAUUUCCACUUCUGAUUCUUAGACACAUGACCUCCUUCAUAAGUCAGGAGUCACUCUAAGUUCAAAGAAAUCAAUGUUGGCUUCCUCCCAGGAUGCAAACUCUUGAGAGCUCUGUUUUAUAUGCCUGUGUGUGUAUGAAUGUAUACACACACAUAUAAUGCUAUUUUCAAAUACUCAGUGGAAAUUUAAUGGAGUUGCAGGAACAGAAGAAUGGAGAACUAAUUCUGUAUCCAGCUCAUAACCCAAGCACUGGCUGAGUUGAUGCCAGAGAGGAAGGCAGAGCAGGAAAGCCAACCCCAAUACAAAGUUUGGGAGCUGCACUGUCCAGUCAAAUGACUAGGAAAGUCUCCACCUUGCUCUGAUCUUCAGGAGCCCUUGCUGAACAGUAGAGCUGACCUAGACAAAGAAAAAAAUGCAUUAAAAAGGUUGGAAACUACUUUUCAGGAAUGUAUUCUGUGGAAGGUGUAUUGGGCAAAACUUUACAGGUUGCUUUUGAAAUUCUGAGUUAUGCCACGAUAGCUCAUUGCAGUGUUCAGACUGUUCAGAUACGUUGUGCUACUAUUUUCCUCUACACCCUGGAUAUCAAACCAACACAGCCCUUACAGCCAGCAAACGUGCAGAUGAAGCAGAAGGGUAAGCAGAUGCUUUCAUUGGAGUUGUGUGUCCAGCUACGUUCAACCAGGACUGUGAGCUCCAGCCAGCUGGGGUGGUGAUGGCUGGUUGGAGCUGCAUGGCCUUGGCUUUGCUUCCCUCCCACAGGUGUUUCUGAGCAUGCUGUAAAGUCUCAGCUCUGUUGUUACUGUCUGUUGUGGCAUCACUGGUGUUUUUUCACUUGUUGUCAUUUGUGCAUAAAGCCCAUUCAGCUUCUCCUCUGCUAGGAUACAACCAGAGCUGCUGUCAGUGCAUUAUAGAUGGAGGAACAAAGCAAACCCUCAAAUGCUGGUUUCCUUAGCAACAACCUGGGGCGAGGGUGAUUCCAAGACAAGGGUUCUAAAGCUGCAGUGCUGGAACCCAAAAGGACACAGAUCUGUCUCAGCACCCUGCCUGUUUCAGCCUGAAUCUCGACUCUUGAUAGCGUGGAACAGGAUGAUCCCAUUCAUUACUGUCACCUUCAAAUAUAAACCUGCUGGAACAGAAAGCUCUUCACAAAGCCAUCCUGUACUCCUACUAUGUGCUAACAAACAAGACUGUGCUUGUAAAAGCACCAUAAAAUGAUAGUGUUCUUUCUUUCUCUUUUCCUUUUUUUCUAGAAGAUGAUGCUCAUGGGGGGCAAGAGAUACAGGAGAUUGGCUUAAGGGUGUUAAAAUUACCUGACUUUGUGAUGAAGAGAAUGUGCAGCUGACUUCCUAUGCUAUUCCAGAAAAAUAAACACCACUCAUAAAUAUCUACUCCACUUUCCAUCUCUGAAGGAUUUCUACUGGGUGAUCUUUCAGGAAAUAUGGAUAUGGAAUAUGAGAGAAUCAUAAAUUCCCAGGCCUGGGUCCUCCCUGAAUUCCAUGGUGAGUAUUAGGUUUUCAUUUUAUAUAUAGCUUUGGAGAAAAGUGGUCAUUUGAAGAAAAUUGUGAACCACGCUUAUCUUUGUUCUACUUCUGGACUGACAUCAUGGUAUGAAAAUGCAAGGAAUGUACAGUAAAACCUGGUGUGGGAAGAAGAUCUUGGCAGAGGGAUGACUAAUGGUGCCUAAAAGAGAGAAAACAGUUAUGUAAUAAAUACAGCCCAUGAGAUUAAAAUUGAAGAGAGCAUCACAGGUGCAGACUGUAAACAGGCCCCGGAGGAAAUAAUAUUGGUCUUUUAAAGAUGGACUCUGUAAACAAACUGAUGAAGCAUAGGAAAUAUCCUUUCGUGUAAAUUUUUAUGGUACAAGUCAGUACAUGGAGAAUACAAGCACUGUAAGUGUUUAUAAACUCAUAGAACAUCAAUACUGUAGGAAAGCAGCACAAAAAGUGCCACAAAGUAAAUUUAUACAGAGCAGGGAAGAUACGUGGUCUGAUGGCUGUUUGUUUUUUUUACUUUCACAAAUGAUAUGAUUUCUGCCUCUCUGGUUUUGUUCUGUUCACUUAGCUGCUCUCAGCUACAUAAUUGUUCUUCUAACUUGUAAAUAUUAUGGUCAACCUCCAGCAAAGUUUAGAUGAGGCCAAUCCAAUGUAAACAAGUGUGUCUUGUCAAUGAUGUGAGUAAGCAAAGCCACCCCUUGUAUAUUUCCUGCCCCUUUUCCAACUCCACUGAGACUGCGGGAGCUUUGCCAAGCCAGCUAUGAUAGCAUACAGC
Meleagris gallopavo (turkey) is the source of this 5731-nucleotide non-coding RNA. Lineage: Eukaryota; Metazoa; Chordata; Aves; Galliformes; Phasianidae. The record is from RefSeq and is a predicted model, not a curated record.